RNAcentral lists this ribosomal RNA (492 nucleotides) under uncultured bacterium. Its description in RNAcentral is "partial 16S ribosomal RNA". It matches the Rfam family "Bacterial small subunit ribosomal RNA", at positions 31 to 507 of the family's 1533-position model. The record is from RNAcentral.
AGGGAACGCUGGCGGUAGGUCUAACACAGGCAAGUCGAACGGCAGCACAGUAAGAGCUUGCUCUUACGGGUGGCGAGUGGCGGACGGGUGAGGAAUACAUCGGAAUCUACUUUUUCGCGGGGGAUAACGUAGGGAAACUUACGCUAAUACCGCAUACGACCUACGGGUGAAAGCAGGGGAUCUUCGGACCUUGCGCGAUUGAAUGAGCCGAUGUCGGAUUAGCUAGUUGGCGGGGUAAAGGCCCACCAAGGCGACGAUCCGUAGCUGGUCUGAGAGGAUGAUCAGCCACACUGGAACUGAGACACGGUCCAGGCUCCUACGGGAGGCAGCAGUGGGGAAUAUUGGACAAUGGGCGCAAGCCUGAUCCAGCCAUACCGCGUGGGUGAAGAAGGCCUUCGGGUUGUAAAGCCCUUUUGUUGGGAAAGAAAAGCAGCAGGUUAAUACCCCGCUGUUCUGACGGUACCCAAAGAAUAAGCACCGGCUAACUUCGUG